CCUACGGGAGGCUGCAGUGGGGAAUAUUGGACAAUGGGGUCAACCCUGAUCCAGCCAUGCCGCGUGUGUGAAGAAGGCCCUCGGGUUGUAAAGCACUUUCAGUGAGGAAGAACGCCUGGUGGUUAAUACCCAUCAGGAAAGACAUCACUCACAGAAGAAGCACCGGCUAACUCCGUGCCAGCAGCCGCGGUAAUACGGAGGGUGCGAGCGUUAAUCGGAAUUACUGGGCGUAAAGCGAGCGUAGGUGGCUUGAUAAGCCGGUUGUGAAAGCCCCGGGCUCAACCUGGGAACGGCAUCCGGAACUGUCGAGCUAGAGUGCAGGAGAGGAAGGUAGAAUUCCCGGUGUAGCGGUGAAAUGCGUAGAGAUCGGGAGGAAUACCAGUGGCGAAGGCGGCCUUCUGGACUGAAACUGACGCUGAGGUGCGAAAGCGUGGGUAGCAAACAGGAUUAGAUACCCGAGUAGUC
RNAcentral lists this ribosomal RNA (465 nucleotides) under Vreelandella stevensii. RNAcentral's name for it is "partial 16S ribosomal RNA". It matches the Rfam family "Bacterial small subunit ribosomal RNA", at positions 338 to 795 of the family's 1533-position model. The record is from RNAcentral. Lineage: Bacteria; Pseudomonadati; Pseudomonadota; Gammaproteobacteria; Oceanospirillales; Halomonadaceae.